This 69-nucleotide transfer RNA is filed under the name Entomoneis sp. Its description in RNAcentral is "tRNA-Met". It matches the Rfam family "tRNA". Rfam says of the family: Transfer RNA (tRNA) molecules are approximately 80 nucleotides in length. Their secondary structure includes four short double-helical elements and three loops (D, anti-codon, and T loops). The record is from RNAcentral. Lineage: Eukaryota; Bacillariophyta; Bacillariophyceae; Surirellales; Surirellaceae.
UGAAAUAAGGUAAGGUUAUCGUUUAGGCUCAUGCCCUAAAUUUCAUAGGUUCAAUUCCUAUUAUUUCAA